RNAcentral lists this long non-coding RNA (217 nucleotides) under Carica papaya (papaya). Its description in RNAcentral is "long non-coding RNA (CPAP_LNC014596)". The record is from RNAcentral. Lineage: Eukaryota; Viridiplantae; Streptophyta; Magnoliopsida; Brassicales; Caricaceae.
UGGCGUGUGCCACCCAGAAGGCCACGCUAGCAAUCCACGUGACCGCGAUCGGAUGGUCCGAAUUUGUUCCCUGUGUGUGGACGGUCUGGAUCCAUUUCUCUUUUAAAAUGCGAUCGUACGGUUCAUAACAAAUUGUGAUGAACGGUCCAGAUUCACUUCCUAUUUAAAUGCGAUCGAAUGGUCCAAACUAAAUCGCGAUGAAUAGUCCAGAUUCACU